GACGAACGCUGGCGGCGUGCUUAACACAUGCAAGUCGAGCGGAGCGGCGCACGGGUGAGUAACGCGUGUGUAACUGCCCCCCUCUCUGGGAUAACAGUUGGAAACGUCUGCUAAUAUCGGAUAGUGGGGGAUGACUCGGGUCCUCUCAGCUUGUUGUUGGGGUGGUGGCCUACCAAGGCGAAGACGGGUAGCCGGCCUGAGAGGGGGACCGGCCAAAUUGGGCUGAGAUACGGCCCAAACUCCUACGGGGGGCAGCAGGGGGGAAUAAUGCACAGUGGGGGAGACACUGAUGCAGCAACGCCGCGUGCGGGAUGACGGCCUUCGGGUUGUAAACCGCUUUCAGCCAUGACGCGGUAGUGGCAGAAGAAGCACCGGCUAACUACGUGCCAGCAGCCGCGGUAAUAC
This 405-nucleotide ribosomal RNA is filed under the name uncultured bacterium. RNAcentral's name for it is "partial 16S ribosomal RNA". It matches the Rfam family "Bacterial small subunit ribosomal RNA", at positions 28 to 526 of the family's 1533-position model. The record is from RNAcentral.